Molecule: RNA transcript, 6068 nt
Organism: Trichechus manatus latirostris (Florida manatee)
Lineage: Eukaryota; Metazoa; Chordata; Mammalia; Sirenia; Trichechidae
Gene: RNPC3
Gene name: RNA binding region (RNP1, RRM) containing 3
Exons: 15
Source: RefSeq, a predicted model, not a curated record
UCUUUAUCCCUUUUCUGAUUGACACUUUUUUUAAUCCUCGCGCUUUCCACGGGUGAAGCUACCUGAAAUUUAAAUUACUUUACCUUCCCAUAACUGUAGCACCUCACCCUUCAGUUUGUGGAACUUGUUUCCGAAGAAGCGUUAGGCAUCCGUGACUCAGUUCUCGCGAGAAGCGACCUCUGCUCGCGGCAUUUCCUUGUUUCCAGAAUCCUUAGCGAGAGAACACUCAUUUAUCUCUCCUAGUGUUGCUGCCGCAGUUUCUUGCGGCCUCCCACGGUGUCCCAGUUGCACUUUCUCCUGGGAAAAUGGCAGCCCCGGAGCAGCCACUGCCUAAGUCGAGAGGUUGCCAGAGCUCCGCUUCGUUUUCCCCGCCGCGGGGCGACCGAACCCUUCUAGUACGGCACCUGCCUGCGGAGCUGACCGCUGAGGAGAAAGAGGACUUGCUGAAGUACUUCGGCGCGCAGUCCGUCCGCGUCCUGUCAGAUAAGGGGCGACUGAAACAUACAGCUUUUGCUACUUUCCCUAAUGAAAAAGCAGCUAUUAAGGCAUUGACAAGACUCCAUCAGCUGAAACUUUUAGGUCAUACUUUAGUUGUUGAAUUUGCAAAAGAGCAGGAUCAAGUUCAUUCUCUACUGUCUUCUUCAAACACUGAAAAAAAGAAAAGGUCUGAUGACCCUGUGGAAGAUGAUAAAGAAAAGAAAGAAUUUGGUUGUUUAACAAUAGAAAAUGGAAUUGCACCAAACCAUGGGCUGAGUUUUCCUCUAAAUUCAUGCCUCAAGUAUAUGUAUCCACCACCUUCAAGCACAAUCCUAGCAAACAUAGUAAAUGCCUUGGCAAGCGUGCCUAAGUUCUAUGUGCAGGUGCUUCAUCUUAUGAAUAAAAUGAAUUUGCCCACACCUUUUGGACCAAUUACUGCACGACCUCCGUUGUAUGAAGACUAUAUGCCGUUGCAUGCACCUCUUCCACCUGCAUCUCCUCAGCCACCUGAGGAACCUCCUUUGCCAGAUGAGGAUGAGGAAUUAUCUAGUAAAGAAUCAGAGUAUGAAAGCAGUGAUGAUGAGGACCGGCAGAGAAUGACCAAACUAAUGGAACUAGCAAAUCUUCAGCCCAAAAGACCAAAAACAAUAAAGCAACGCCAUGUGAGGAAAAAGCGAAAAAUAAAGGAUAUGUUAAAUAUACCUUCAUCUGCUUCACACAGUAAUUUACAUCCAGUGCUGUUACCUUCAGAUGUAUUUGACCAACCACAACCUGUAGGUAAUAAAAAAAUUGAAUUCCAUAUAUCUACUGGCAUGCCAGCGACGUUUAAGAAAGAUUUAGAGAAGGAACAAAAUUGUGAGGAACAAAAUUAUGAUUUACCUGAUGCUGAAGUUGAUACAUCUAAUGUAGGAUUUGGAAAAAUCUUCCCAGCACCUAAUCUGAACAUCACAGAGGAGAUGAAAGAAGACUCUGAUGAAAUGCCGUCAGAAUUUAUCUCUAGAAAGGAGUUGAAAAAGGGCAGAAUUUCUAGAGAAGAAAUGGAAACACUAUCGAUUUUCAGAAGUUAUGAACCUGGUGAACCAAACUGUAGAAUUUAUGUGAAGAAUUUAGCUAAACAUGUUCAAGAAAAGGACCUUAAAUUUAUUUUUGGAAGAUAUGUUGACUUUUCAUCAGAAACAGAACGGAUAAUGUUUGAUAUCCGCUUGAUGAAAGAAGGUCGCAUGAAAGGACAAGCUUUCAUCGGACUUCCAAAUGAAACAGCAGCAGCAAAAGCCUUAAAGGAAGCUAAUGGCUAUGUCCUUUUUGGAAAACCAAUGGUGGUUCAAUUUGCUCGAUCUGCUAGACCAAAACAAGAUUCUAAAGAAGGAAAAAGAAAAUGUUAAAAAUUAGUAAAGGUAAGUGUGGGUAUAACAUAAUGAAAGGGUAAGACUGUUAAGAUAAAAUUAAGGACAGAAGCCUGAUACAGUAGUAAUUCAGCAAUCUCCCAAGGUUUUUCAAGAAUUUAUCUUUAUGCAGUUAAUCACCAUUUAACUUAGGAAUUUUCGCGAUAGAAUAAGCCCAUUUGUAUGUAUAAAUUAAGUUCAGAGAAUAAAUUUUAUAAGGAUAACAUUAUCUUUAUUUGCCUUUACUUUUUUCUGCCUAGAGUGAAGCAGUAGUUCUUAACCUUAAUAUGUGUUAGAAUCACCUGGUGAGCUUAGUAAAACAUAGAUUAUUGGGCUCCACUCCCAGAGUUUCUCAUUCAGUAGGUCUGGUGUGGGGGCCUAGGGUGACCAACCAUCCUAGUUUACCUGUGACUGAGGGGUUUCCCAGCACACUGGAUUUGUCAAUGCUAAAGCCAGGACAAGUUGGUCACCCUAGAUGAAGCCUGAGAAUUUGAAUUACUAAUGAGUUCCCCCUUAAUAGUGAGACAUCUGGUCGAGGGACUACACUUUGAAAACUCCUAAGAAGCAUUCCUGCGUAAAUACUGCUGUAAUACUGUCAUGCAAAGUGUAUCCUUUCUUGUUGUAUCCUUUUUGGGGCAGUGCUUUUUGGUUUUUUUCUAGAAAUGUUUUACCCUUCCUCCACCCAUUGGUCCAGAUAGAGCAAUAAUUUUUACAUUUUAUUCAAAUGAAAUAUUUCUAAAAUUAUCACUGCAGAUUGAACAAAUCAUUUGUGUUUUUUGGAUUUGUUGAAUUUUCUCUAUGUUCUUGAAGUCAUGUUAUUUUUCCAGAGAAAGUUAGUGAAUCAGGUCACCUUAUUUACUUGGAGAAUGUAUGCAUUUACUUUAACACAGAAUGUAGUCUUACUUCUAUUUGUAUAUUUCCUAAACCUAAUAAAAACUAUAUGCUUUCUGUUUUAUAACAUAUCUGGUUUAGGUAUUCUACGUAACAUGUUGUAAAAAGUACAUAUGUUAAAAUUAAAAUAACUGAUUUCUGUGUAAAUUCCAAAUAAGAGUAGCUGACCUCACAUCUGAAGUCUUAUUGAAAUCUCCUUUGAGGUAGAUAGCAAGUAGAAGUGUCUUUUUUCCUUUUUUCUUUUUUCCCCCCUAAAAACAAAAAGAUGGAAUGCAACAAGAGUAAUAAAGGGGAGAAGACACUAUAUUGGCUCAGGGUAACUCAUUAAGUGAAAAGAAAUCAUCCUGGUAGGUAUAAAACAACAGUGAUUUCCAGACUGGUUGAUGUCCAGAAUCACUAGAACAAUGGUUCUCAAUCUUGAUUGCACAGUAAUGAUCUGGGAAACUUUUGAAAAACACUGAUUGAAAAAAAAAAAAUCCCUUAAAAAAUAUACGAUGGAGUUUUCAUGUAAUUGGUCUGGGGUCCAGCCCAGAUAUUGGAAUUUUUAAAACCACCUGAAAGUGAUUCUAAUGUGCAACCAAGGUUGAGAAACACCAAGGAAAGAUUUUUAUGCGUAAAGAUUCCUGGACUCUAUCCUAGAAUUAAUAAAUCAGAAUCUCUGGGGAUGACACCCAAGAAUAUGAUUAGAAAAGAUUCCCCUCAUAAUGCUAAGGGCUGACCAGUUUGAAUACUGCUUUGUUAGCAUAAAAUGGUCAGGUACCUCAUACUAGCCCAGCCAUGUAACCGAAAAGUAGGAAAAUCGAGACUUGGAGCCUUGACAUGUCUUUCUUCCUUGCAAAUUUUGCUGUUGUUAGUACUGUGAAAACAAACUUCUGUUAAUUAUUAUCACCGUAAGAAUACAUAAAAGCAGUAGAUACUGAAAUUGCAGUUGUUUCUGUAUGGGGACAGUUAAAGUGUUUUAUUUUUUAAUGGUAUAAAUCACAGUUUCUGUAUACGGUGUUUACCUAAUUAAAACUUUGUUGCACUGACAUGAUUCACUAAUUUUCUAAAUAUCAAUGUUUUAGCUUUUAGUCAAUUUUAAGCUAUGAACAGUUUUAUAAUUAUGAUUAUUUUUAAUGGACUUUUAUGGUGUUCCAGGUUCCUUUUGGAUUCUGUACCUUUCAAGUGCUUUCCAACUUUGAGGAGGAGAAAUUGGCCACCUGGACUAUGGAACUGUGCGUAACAGCUUUUAAAAUGUAUUUAAAAGUUAAAUCUAUAUGUAUUUAAAUCAGUUGAUUGGAGAUCUAUUACAUGUAUUUUAAUCACUUCCAUAGUAUAUAAUAAAUUAUUUUCUUUCUGGUAAAAUGGUGUUAAUUUUUUUUUUUAUAUAUAUAAGUUGUGUGCAUCUGGUAUAACUUUAUAAUUACAUACUUUUUUAUUUAUGUAGUUUUAGAAUACUAAAUGUAAAUUUUCUUUUAUUAUAAAUAUUGGCAUUUCUAAGUGGAUACUAAUACACAUUUUUAACCAGUAGUCUUAAUUGUAAGUGAUAAUUGUUUUAAAACUUUUAUCUGCCUGGGUUUUGAGUUUUAUUAUUGUUGUUGUGGGGUAUUUUGUUUUUGUUUUUGCUAGUUAGGGUUCUCUCCCAGGAUAAGAAUUUGUAUCCGUACCCUAAUUUAGUGUUCCAUAUUUAUACUCCCAAAUGUAUCAGGAUAUCACUCAGAGGUUAAAAUGUUUCCCAUAUAAAAUUUUUCUAUUCUCUUAGUGAAAUGAGUUUCAGCUAUAUUUAAGUAGAAAAACUUUGGUAUUUUUAUUUGAUCUUACUGAUACUCUUCUGUGAGUAUGUGGUGACAGUUUAGAAUGACUGCCCAGAGGCUGAAAUCUUCUGGAUAUUGGGAUUUUUAAAACCUCCUAAAAGUGAUUCUAAUGUGCAGCCGAGGUUGAGGAACACCAAGGAAGGAUUUUUAUGCCUAAAGAUUCCUGGACUCUACCCUAGAACUAAUAAAUUUGAAUCUCUGGGAAUGGGUUCCAAGAAUAUAAUUAGAAAAGGUCCCUCUCAUAAUUAUAAGGACUAACCGGUUUGAAUACUACUUUGUUAGCAUAAAAUGGUCUGGUACCUAACACCAGCCUAGCUUCUUCCUUUUUUCUCAUAGCAUUGUAUAGUGGGUAGAGUGCAUUAAAGGUGGGAAUUAGAAGCAUGGAGAAGUGAACCCUGGAACACGCAAAUGUUUAGAUGAUGAAGUAGUUAAGAAACCAUUAAACAAGACUUAGGAGGAACGGCUAGAAGCCAGGUGAAGAAAGUGUCUCAACCAGGAAGUGUUGUUCAAAUGUGUGAAAUCUGUUAAUGAUGUAAAUAAGAUGAAUUCGGGGGAUUGAACAUUAAGUUUAGUAAGAUUUGUGACCUUGACCUUGACAAGCUAAUUUGAUCGAUGGAAGAACCAACAGGUGGUAUUCAAGACAAUGGUAGAGAGAAACUGAAGAUAGUGAGAAUUGAAGACAGCUCUUUUAAGGAGUCUUGCUUUAAAGGGGAAUAGAGAAAUUGUUACUAGAGUGGGAUGUGAUAUCAAGAGGUUUUUUUUUUUUAAACAGACAUUUUUUAUAAAGGUAUAGCAGAUUUUUGUGCUAAGGGAGCUGAUCUCUAGUAGAAAGAAAAACGUGAUGUAGGAAGGAGAGACAAAUUGAUGGAGCCAUAGAUCUGCUGUACAAAUAGUGUUUAGCUUUAAAGAUAAGGCUGCACUCCCCUUAUUAAUAGCAAUAAAAGGAAGGGCAGAUUACUUAGGUCUAUACGCUUCUAGUUUUGGAGAUGUGACGGUAGAAGCAUGCGGAAAUUUCUUUUUUUCCUAAGUAGAAUAAGUAGCAAGGUUAUGAAGAAGAGGGAAGAAGUGAUGGAGAGUUGAGGAAAGAAAAGGUGUAAAUUAGAUUAUCUAGGAAAGUGCAACAGUGAGCAAACUCUUAGAAGGAUUGCCAGGCAGUGCUGAAGUGCCCACUUGAAGUUACUUGUUAUUAUUUAUUUAUUUAUUUUUUGGUGGUGAAAAUAUGUACAACAAAACAUACUCCAACAUUUUCUACAUUUAUAAUUCAGUGACAUUGAUUACAUUCAUCAAGUUGUGCAACCAUUCUGUCUUUUUUCCAAAUUAUUUCACUAUCAUUAACAUAACUCAGUACCGCCUAAGCAAAAACUCACCCAUUUUUCCUUCUUCCCUUUCCUGGGGUAACCACUAGUAAUCUUUAGUUUCUACAUGUUUGUUUAUUUCAUCUAAAUGAGAUCAUAUACUAUUUGCCCUUUUGUGACUGACUUAUUUCACUCAGUGUAUUGUUUUCAAGGUUCAUCCAUGUUAUGGC